This 253-nucleotide ribosomal RNA is filed under the name uncultured bacterium. RNAcentral's name for it is "partial 16S ribosomal RNA". It matches the Rfam family "Bacterial small subunit ribosomal RNA", at positions 524 to 776 of the family's 1533-position model. The record is from RNAcentral.
UACGUAGGUGGCUAGCGUUGUCCGGAUUUACUGGGCGUAAAGAGCGCGCAGGCGGUCGUUCAAGUCGAGUGUGAAAGCCCCCGGCUCAACUGGGGAGGGUCACUCGAUACUGAUCGACUUGAAGGCGGGAGAGGGAAGCGGAAUUCCCGGUGUAGUGGUGAAAUGCGCAGAUAUCAGGAAGAACACCAAUGGCGAAGGCAGCUCUCUGGGACGGUACUGACGCUGAGACGCGAAAGCGUGGGGAGCGAACAGG